GGUCGGUUGACCGAGUGGCCAGGUAGCGGUCUGCAAAACCGUGUACGGCGGUUCGACUCCGCCACCGACCU
This 71-nucleotide transfer RNA is filed under the name Bacteroidota bacterium. RNAcentral's name for it is "Bacteroidetes bacterium (sediment metagenome) tRNA-Cys". It matches the Rfam family "tRNA". From Rfam's summary of the family: Transfer RNA (tRNA) molecules are approximately 80 nucleotides in length. Their secondary structure includes four short double-helical elements and three loops (D, anti-codon, and T loops). The record is from RNAcentral. Lineage: Bacteria; Pseudomonadati; Bacteroidota. RNAcentral also lists the same sequence under 2 other names.